GCGGUACAGGAUGGACCCGCGUCUGAUUAGCUAGUUGGUAAGGUAACGGCUUACCAAGGCGACGAUCAGUAGCCGACCUGAGAGGGUGAUCGGCCACAUUGGAACUGAGACACGGUCCAAACUCCUACGGGAGGCAGCAGUGGGGAAUAUUGCACAAUGGGCGAAAGCCUGAUGCAGCAACGCCGCGUGAGCGAUGAAGGCCUUCGGGUCGUAAAGCUCUGUCCUCAAGGAAGAUAAUGACGGUACUUGAGGAGGAAGCCCCGGCUAACUACGUGCCAGCAGCCGCGGUAAUACGUAGGGGGCUAGCGUUAUCCGGAAUUACUGGGCGUAAAGGGUGCGUAGGUGGUUUCUUAAGUCAGAGGUGAAAGGCUACGGCUCAACCGUAGUAAGCCUUUGAAACUGGGAAACUUGAGUGCAGGAGAGGAGAGUGGAAUUCCUAGUGUAGCGGUGAAAUGCGUAGAUAUUAGGAGGAACACCAGUUGCGAAGGCGGC
This 492-nucleotide ribosomal RNA is filed under the name uncultured Clostridium sp. Its description in RNAcentral is "bacterial SSU rRNA". It matches the Rfam family "Bacterial small subunit ribosomal RNA", at positions 215 to 725 of the family's 1533-position model. The record is from RNAcentral. Lineage: Bacteria; Bacillati; Bacillota; Clostridia; Eubacteriales; Clostridiaceae.